This 1459-nucleotide ribosomal RNA is filed under the name Cyanobium sp. JJ16-3. RNAcentral's name for it is "bacterial SSU rRNA". It matches the Rfam family "Bacterial small subunit ribosomal RNA". The record is from RNAcentral. RNAcentral also lists the same sequence under 2 other names. Lineage: Bacteria; Bacillati; Cyanobacteriota; Cyanophyceae; Synechococcales; Prochlorococcaceae.
GAUGAACGCUGGCGGCGUGCUUAACACAUGCAAGUCGAACGAGCCUUCGGGCUAGUGGCGGACGGGUGAGUAACGCGUGGGAAUCUGCCCUCAGGAGGGGGAUAACGGCCGGAAACGGCCGCUAAUACCCCAUAUGCCGAGAGGUGAAAUGAAUUUCGCCUGAGGAUGAGCCCGCGUCUGAUUAGCUAGUUGGUGUGGUAAUGGCGCACCAAGGCUUCGAUCAGUAGCUGGUCUGAGAGGAUGAUCAGCCACACUGGGACUGAGACACGGCCCAGACUCCUACGGGAGGCAGCAGUGGGGAAUUUUCCGCAAUGGGCGCAAGCCUGACGGAGCAACGCCGCGUGAGGGACGAAGGCCUCUGGGCUGUAAACCUCUUUUCUCAAGGAAGAAGACAUGACGGUACUUGAGGAAUAAGCCACGGCUAAUUCCGUGCCAGCAGCCGCGGUAAUACGGGAGUGGCAAGCGUUAUCCGGAAUUAUUGGGCGUAAAGCGUCCGCAGGCGGCCCAGCAAGUCUGUUGUUAAAAAGUGGAGCUUAACUCCAUCCAGGCAAUGGAAACUGCUGGGCUAGAGUGUGGUAGGGGCAGAGGGAAUUCCCGGUGUAGCGGUGAAAUGCGUAGAUAUCGGGAAGAACACCAGUGGCGAAGGCGCUCUGCUGGGCCAUAACUGACGCUCAUGGACGAAAGCCAGGGGAGCGAAAGGGAUUAGAUACCCCUGUAGUCCUGGCCGUAAACGAUGAACACUAGGUGUCGGGGGAAUCGACCCCCUCGGUGUCGUAGCCAACGCGUUAAGUGUUCCGCCUGGGGAGUACGCACGCAAGUGUGAAACUCAAAGGAAUUGACGGGGGCCCGCACAAGCGGUGGAGUAUGUGGUUUAAUUCGAUGCAACGCGAAGAACCUUACCAGGGUUUGACAUCCUGCGAAUCCCUUGGAAACUUGGGAGUGCCUUCGGGAGCGCAGUGACAGGUGGUGCAUGGCUGUCGUCAGCUCGUGUCGUGAGAUGUUGGGUUAAGUCCCGCAACGAGCGCAACCCACGUCUUUAGUUGCCAGCAUUCAGUUGGGCACUCUAGAGAGACCGCCGGUGAUAAACCGGAGGAAGGUGUGGAUGACGUCAAGUCAUCAUGCCCCUUACAUCCUGGGCUACACACGUACUACAAUGCUACGGACAAAGGGCAGCAAACUCGCGAGAGCUAGCAAAUCCCAUAAACCGUGGCUCAGUUCAGAUCGUAGGCUGCAACUCGCCUACGUGAAGGAGGAAUCGCUAGUAAUCGCAGGUCAGCAUACUGCGGUGAAUACGUUCCCGGGCCUUGUACACACCGCCCGUCACACCAUGGAAGUUGGCCAUGCCCGAAGUCGUUACUCCAACCCGUAAGGGAGGAGGACGCCGAAGGUGGGGCUGAUGACUGGGGUGAAGUCGUAACAAGGUAGCCGUACCGGAAGGUGCGGCUGGAUCACCUCCUAA